AAUAAGUACAGUUUUAUACUAUUCAUAUCCAAUGUUUGAUCAUCUUAUUUAAAAAAUUUUAUGAUUAAUAUUUUUAUUGUUAUUAGAUGAUAACACAUGAAUAUUACUUUAUGUGUGACUAAUUUUUUUUUGAAAAAAAUCAUAAAAUUUCCAAAUAAGAUGGACGGUCAAAUGUUGGAUACGCAUACCAACGCUGUAUUUAUU
RNAcentral lists this microRNA precursor (204 nucleotides) under Oryza rufipogon (brownbeard rice). Its description in RNAcentral is "MIR812 microRNA precursor family". It matches the Rfam family "MIR812 microRNA precursor family". Lineage: Eukaryota; Viridiplantae; Streptophyta; Magnoliopsida; Poales; Poaceae. The record is from Rfam by way of RNAcentral.